Long non-coding RNA from Rhagoletis zephyria (snowberry fruit fly), 664 nucleotides. RefSeq lists it as uncharacterized. Lineage: Eukaryota; Metazoa; Arthropoda; Insecta; Diptera; Tephritidae. The record is from RefSeq and is a predicted model, not a curated record.
ACAACGCGAACAAGCAAGGAGCAAAUUGAGUGCUACCUGUCAUUUAUGCGGAGCCACCCUGAGUUAAAGCUCAAUAAAAAUGAUCCUACACGUCCAAAAAGGCUAGAGGAGCUGUGGAUAGAGCUAGCAGAGAAACUUAACGCUCUUAAAGGGCCGAUACGUACUCCGGCUAAAUGGAAAGAGUCUUUAGCCCAUUGGAAAAACCAAGUCCGAUCCAGGGCUAGGAAGGCAAAGGCCUAUUGCUUGGUGACGGGCGGAGGUCCCUGCUUGCAAGAGGAACUCACGGAGAGGGAGCAACAGGCAUUGGAAACUUUCGGGUCGGCCGUGGUUGACGGGAUGACUGAUAUCCCAAACGUUGGUGCCGAGGUAGUACACAUAUACUGUCAGGAUUAAACUUCUUUCUUCAUUAUCAAACUGAAAUACUAAUUUCUUACGACCCCGGUAGUCCUAUUGUCCAAACGACGGACGCAUUAACUGAUACUCCGACAACUUCACGUCACCGCAAAGGAACCUCUGGUGAGAUGUUCGGAGAGAUGAUGGCAUCUAUAAGGGAGAGGAAUGACGAAGAAAGAAAAUACAGAGAAGAAUCUCUAAAAUGCAUGGCAGAAUUUUCUAAUUCCAUGAACAAUAUGGCCAGUGCAAUAUUGACCUUGUCCCAAGCCAU